This 119-nucleotide non-coding RNA is filed under the name Glycine max (soybean). Lineage: Eukaryota; Viridiplantae; Streptophyta; Magnoliopsida; Fabales; Fabaceae. The record is from RNAcentral.
GUGUUCGUUUAAAGGAGAAAUGAUUGGCAUCUCCCCUAGGGACGGAACAGUUGUAUUUUCCUGAUAACACUUCUGGUUAAGGCUACCAACUCUCGGUGGAUCUCUAACGCAAUUUUUUU